RNAcentral lists this ribosomal RNA (465 nucleotides) under Vreelandella stevensii. RNAcentral describes it as "partial 16S ribosomal RNA". It matches the Rfam family "Bacterial small subunit ribosomal RNA", at positions 338 to 795 of the family's 1533-position model. The record is from RNAcentral. Lineage: Bacteria; Pseudomonadati; Pseudomonadota; Gammaproteobacteria; Oceanospirillales; Halomonadaceae.
CCUCCGGGGGGCAGCAGUGGGGAAUAUUGGACAAUGGGCGAAAGCCUGAUCCAGCCAUGCCGCGUGUGUGAAGAAGGCCUUCGGGUUGUAAAGCACUUUCAGUGGGGAAGAAAGCCUUGGGGCUAAUACCCUCGAGGAAGGACAUCACCCACAGAAGAAGCACCGGCUAACUCCGUGCCAGCAGCCGCGGUAAUACGGAGGGUGCGAGCGUUAAUCGGAAUUACUGGGCGUAAAGCGCGCGUAGGCGGUCUGAUAAGCCGGUUGUGAAAGCCCCGGGCUCAACCUGGGAACGGCAUCCGGAACUAUCAGGCUAGAGUGCAGGAGAGGAAAGUAGAAUUCCCGGUGUAGCGGUGAAAUGCGUAGAGAUCGGGAGGAAUACCAGUGGCGAAGGCGGUCUUCUGGACUGACACUGACGCUGAGGUGCGAAAGCGUGGGUAGCAAACAGGAUUAGAUACCCGAGUAGUC